RNAcentral lists this ribosomal RNA (462 nucleotides) under uncultured ammonia-oxidizing beta proteobacterium. RNAcentral describes it as "bacterial SSU rRNA". It matches the Rfam family "Bacterial small subunit ribosomal RNA", at positions 202 to 647 of the family's 1533-position model. Lineage: Bacteria; Pseudomonadati; Pseudomonadota; Betaproteobacteria. The record is from RNAcentral.
AAGCAGGGGAUCGCAAGACCUUGCGCUUUUGGAGCGGCCGAUGCCUGAUUAGCUAGUUGGUGGGGUAAGGGCUUACCAAGGCGACGAUCAGUAGUUGGUCUGAGAGGACGACCAGCCACACUGGGACUGAGACACGGCCCAGACUCCUACGGGAGGCAGCAGUGGGGAAUUUUGGACAAUGGGCGAAAGCCUGAUCCAGCAAUGCCGCGUGAGUGAAGAAGGCCUUCGGGUUGUAAAGCUCUUUCAGUCGAGAAGAAAAGGUCGCGACUAAUAAUCGCGACUCAUGACGGUAUCGACAGAAGAAGCACCGGCUAACUACGUGCCAGCAGCCGCGGUAAUACGUAGGGUGCGAGCGUUAAUCGGAAUUACUGGGCGUAAAGGGUGCGCAGGCGGCUUUGUAAGUCAGAUGUGAAAUCCCCGGGCUUAACCUGGGAAUUGCGUUUGAAACUACAAAGCUAGAGU